UCCCUAUAUCCCAUCACAUUUCCAGAUGUCCCUCAGGUGCAGUGUGUGAAAUCUUACAAGGCCCGAGAGCAUGAUGAACUGACUCUGGAGAAAGCCGACAUCGUCAUGGUCUUGCGGUCAAGCAGUGAUGGCUGGCGUGAAGGCGUGAAGCUCUCAGACGGAGAGAGAGGCUGGUUUCCUUUGGAUCACGUGGAGACCAUCUCCAGCAAACAAGUCCGACAGAUGAACCUGAAGGAAGAGCAGCGGGUGAAAAACGCCAAACAGCAGGUCUUUCGCAGGAGAUAAAAGAUUCCCACCCUGCCUCUCCAACUCUGGAGGACAUUGCAAGGUGUUUAAAAAAAAAACAACUGCCGUGUGAAUUGCGAGACCGAAGGGGCAAAGCACAAACUGGUGUCGUUGGC
Non-coding RNA from Notechis scutatus (mainland tiger snake), 401 nucleotides. The record is from RefSeq and is a predicted model, not a curated record. NCBI's taxonomy places the organism in Eukaryota, Metazoa, Chordata, Lepidosauria, Squamata, Elapidae.